This 498-nucleotide long non-coding RNA is filed under the name Brassica napus (rape). RNAcentral describes it as "long non-coding RNA (BNAP_LNC008647)". The record is from RNAcentral. Lineage: Eukaryota; Viridiplantae; Streptophyta; Magnoliopsida; Brassicales; Brassicaceae.
GGAAGAACAGUUAGUUACCUGUGCAUUCACGAGGACAGUUGUUGCCAUGUUGGUGAUUGAUUGAAGCAAUCUGAUGAUCUCUUCUUCUGCAUCUCUUGAGAAUUUUCUUGAGCUUCUUGAAGCCAACGCCAGGUAGAUUCUUCUUCUCCUUUUGUCCUUGCAUGUACUCCUCAUACUUCUUACAGAACUUCAUUUCUCCAAAACGUACAAUUAAAUUAAAUUAAUAAAGACACACACAAAAAGAGAGAGGGGUUAUAAGUUUUAGAUGACCAUCAACAAAUCUGAUCAAGAAAAACGAGUUUUAUCUUAUUCUAUCUCUCUCACUUGCGUCUCGUGUUGGCUUUAUAGAAGAAAAACAGAGGAAGAGGAAGAAGGAGAAAGAAAGGUGGUAAUGUCGGCGGAAAACAAAACUAAAAAGAACGCAAAAGUCAAAUUGUUGUUUUUGGGAACAUAUCAAAAAGUUAUUAAAAGGUACUAAUAUUUGUGUUAUUGGAAGGG